GACGAACGCUGGCGGCGUGCUUAACACAUGCAAGUCGAACGGAAAGGCCCUGCUUUUGUGGGGUGCUCGAGUGGCGAACGGGUGAGUAACACGUGAGUAACCUGCCUUGACUUUGGGAUAACUUUAGGAAAAUGGGGCUAAUACCGGAUAGGAGCUCCUGCCGCAUGGGGGGGGGUGGAAAGUUUCGGCGGUUGGGGAUGGACUCGCGGCUUAUCAGCUUGUUGGUGGGGUAGUGGCUUACCAAGGCUUUGACGGGUAGCCGGCCUGAGAGGGUGACCGGCCACAUUGGGACUGAGAUACGGCCCAGACUCCUACGGGAGGCAGCAGUGGGGAAUAUUGCACAAUGGGCGGAAGCCUGAUGCAGCAACGCCGCGUGCGGGAUGACGGCCUUCGGGUUGUAAACCGCUUUCGCCUGUGACGAAGCGUGAGUGACGGUAAUGGGUAAAGAAGCACCGGCUAACUACGUG
This 467-nucleotide ribosomal RNA is filed under the name uncultured bacterium. RNAcentral's name for it is "partial 16S ribosomal RNA". It matches the Rfam family "Bacterial small subunit ribosomal RNA", at positions 28 to 507 of the family's 1533-position model. The record is from RNAcentral.